CAGAGUAGGAACAGCGCGUUAAGUGCCGUCGGACGGGAUGUUGCCGGCGGACGAAAGUGAAAGCGCUGCGGUGCUGUUCCGCAUCCGCUGC
Molecule: non-coding RNA, 91 nt
Filed under: bovine gut metagenome
Description: THF riboswitch
Rfam family: THF (Tetrahydrofolate) riboswitch aptamer
About the family: THF riboswitch presents a pseudoknot that joins P1-P2 and the loop of P3 and two THF binding.
Source: RNAcentral